AGUGAACGCUGGCGGUAGGCCUAACACAUGCAAGUCGAACGGCAGCACAGUAAGAGCUUGCUCUUACGGGUGGCGAGUGGCGGACGGGUGAGGAAUACAUCGGAAUCUACUUUUUCGUGGGGGAUAACGUAGGGAAACUUACGCUAAUACCGCAUACGACCUACGGGUGAAAGCAGGGGAUCUUCGGACCUUGCGCGAUUGAAUGAGCCGAUGUCGGAUUAGCUAGUUGGCGGGGUAAAGGCCCACCAAGGCGACGAUCCGUAGCUGGUCUGAGAGGAUGAUCGGCCACACUGGAACUGAGACACGGUCCAGACUCCUACGGGAGGCAGCAGUGGGGAAUAUUGGGCAAUGGGCGCAAGCCUGAUCCAGCCAUACCGCGUGGGUGAAGAAGGCCUUCGGGUUGUAAAGCCCUUUUUUUGGGAAAGAAAAGCAGCAGGUUAAUACCCCGCUGUUCUGACGGUACCCAAAGAAUAAGCACCGGCUAACUUCGUG
Molecule: ribosomal RNA, 492 nt
Filed under: uncultured bacterium
Lineage: Bacteria
Description: partial 16S ribosomal RNA
Rfam family: Bacterial small subunit ribosomal RNA
Source: RNAcentral